UCCACGAGUUCCGUGCCGCAGCAAACGCAUUAAGUGCCCCGCCUGGGGAGUACGGCCGCAAGGCUAAAACUCAAAGGAAUUGACGGGGGCCCGCACAAGCGGCGGAGCAUGCGGAUUAAUUCGAUGCAACGCGAAGAACCUUACCAAGGCUUGACAUACACCGGAAACAUCCAGAGAUGGGUGCCCCGCAAGGUCGGUGUACAGGUGGUGCAUGGUUGUCGUCAGCUCGUGUCGUGAGAUGUUGGGUUAAGUCCCGCAACGAGCGCAACCCUCGUCCUAUGUUGCCAGCACGUCAUGGUGGGGACUCAUAGGAGACUGCCGGGGUCAACUCGGAGGAAGGUGGGGAUGACGUCAAAUCAUCAUGCCCCUUAUGUCUUGGGCUUCACGCAUGCUACAAUGGCCGGUACAAAGGGCUGCGAUACCGCGAGGUGGAGCGAAUCCCAAAAAGCCGGUCUCAGUUCGGAUUGGGGUCUGCAACUCGACCCCAUGAAGUCGGAGUCGCUAGUAAUCGCAGAUCAGCAACGCUGCGGUGAAUACGUUCCCGGGCCUUGUACACACCGCCCGUCAAGUCACGAAAGUCGGUAACACCCGAAGCCAGU
Molecule: ribosomal RNA, 599 nt
Filed under: uncultured bacterium
Lineage: Bacteria
Description: bacterial SSU rRNA
Rfam family: Bacterial small subunit ribosomal RNA
Source: RNAcentral